GGCUGGUUUGAAUAUAGUUAUCUCACCUGAUUGUUCACACUCAGUUACAGAUUGAACUCCUUGUUCUCUUCUUUCCCUCCUUUUCACUUCUGUACUUGACUAGCGUUAA
Molecule: unclassified non-coding RNA, 109 nt
Organism: Otolemur garnettii (small-eared galago)
Lineage: Eukaryota; Metazoa; Chordata; Mammalia; Primates; Galagidae
Rfam family: Y RNA
About the family: Y RNAs are components of the Ro ribonucleoprotein particle (Ro RNP), in association with Ro60 and La proteins.
Source: Ensembl